RNAcentral lists this ribosomal RNA (730 nucleotides) under uncultured bacterium. RNAcentral describes it as "bacterial SSU rRNA". It matches the Rfam family "Bacterial small subunit ribosomal RNA", at positions 771 to 1501 of the family's 1533-position model. The record is from RNAcentral.
AACAGGAUUAGAUACCCUGGUAGUCCACGCCGUAAACGAUGUCGACUUGGAGGUUGUGCCCUUGAGGCGUGGCUUCCGGAGCUAACGCGUUAAGUCGACCGCCUGGGGAGUACGGCCGCAAGGUUAAAACUCAAAUGAAUUGACGGGGGCCCGCACAAGCGGUGGAGCAUGUGGUUUAAUUCGAUGCAACGCGAAGAACCUUACCUGGUCUUGACAUCCACGGAAUUUGGCAGAGAUGCCUUAGUGCCUUCGGGAACCGUGAGACAGGUGCUGCAUGGCUGUCGUCAGCUCGUGUUGUGAAAUGUUGGGUUAAGUCCCGCAACGAGCGCAACCCUUAUCCUUUGUUGCCAGCGGUCCGGCCGGGAACUCAAAGGAGACUGCCAGUGAUAAACUGGAGGAAGGUGGGGAUGACGUCAAGUCAUCAUGGCCCUUACGACCAGGGCUACACACGUGCUACAAUGGCAUAUACAAAGAGAAGCGACCUCGCGAGAGCAAGCGGACCUCAUAAAGUAUGUCGUAGUCCGGAUUGGAGUCUGCAACUCGACUCCAUGAAGUCGGAAUCGCUAGUAUUCGUGGAUCAGAAUGCCACGGUGAAUACGUUCCCGGGCCUUGUACACACCGCCCGUCACACCAUGGGAGUGGGUUGCAAAAGAAGUAGGUAGCUUAACCUUCGGGAGGGCGCUUACCACUUUGUGAUUCAUGACUGGGGUGAAGUCGUAACAAGGUAACC